CAUGACCUAUUCAUUAUAAUAUAACAUUUGACUCGUAUCUUGAUUGAUGAUUGGCGAAACACUUCAUUUCCUACAAGAAUUUCUCGAGGCCAUAAACCAGAUUCUGUAAAACCAAAAGAGAACAAAGGACAAGUGAUUAGAUAAAACUUGUUCACGCCUUUACCUGAACAUCAGUUGAACUAUCUUCUCUGUUGUAUAUCUGACCAAGAUUUGAGAUGUUGUUCGCAAUUUGGGUAGCUUCUGGAGAAGGAAGAUCCUGCAUUUCAUAGUGGAAGGAAGCCAUGAUCACAGCCUGUUGGAGAAGUAUAGAUCCUAUGGAUAGUGUUGGUGCUACAAGGCACCCCUAUAAUGCAAACAAUGGAGAAAUUAGAUAAAUCUGGAACAUUUAUGGUCGCUCCAGGACAAGCUCGACUUCACCAAGAAAAAACAACAAAACGAAUUUGCUGAGAGUAUCUCACCCUGUGCUCACCAUGGUGGCCUUGUCACAUAGUGCAGAUAACGCUGAUACUGUCUCUGGCUUAAUCCGAGGUACAUACACAACACUCUUCAUCCCAAAUGCCGUUGCCUUGAUAAGAUCAAAGAUCAUUAACACUCUUGAUGGUUUGACUUUUCCAACUUGGUGGAUAAAAAAGAAAGUUUUUUUUAUUAACUACCUGUUUUACAUUCUCAUACACUGUUGAUGGGUCUGUAAAGUCGAUCACAACUCCCACUUCUUUUCCCUACCAACAAUAUUUUUCGUUUAGGUUGUUCCGUAGAUGUCACUCUGGUGGGAAACAAGAGAGAAAGUUUGGAAAUAAUGGAACCUGAGAUAUCGAGCCUAAGACCAUUGUUAGAUCACUCACUACUGGUAUCUCUAGAGGCUCCUCCAUGUCACAGAGCUAAAAGAACAUUAGAGUUUAGGGUGUCAUGUUAAUAGAUAAACCAACCAGGUGGAAGUAAAUUGUAAGUUAAGUCACCAAGCCAAUAUCUUCGCCAAGAAAAUGGUUGUCGACAGCACCAGCCAACUCCAUUCCCCUGGCUUUAGUCACAGCAACCACAGCCGCUCUUCCUAUCUCCUUUGCAGCUCCGUUUAUGAUUACCUGAUAUGGAAAUUUGUUGCAAUUCAUCACAAGCUGCAUUGUAUGGAAACUCCUGAUGAAGAUGAUGAUGUUACCUUUAUGUUGUUUUGGGAAGGUUGAGAGGCGGAGCAGGAAAAAGAAGGCCUAGAGGGUUUGAGAUGUCGUGAAUGUGAUAGCUUGAAGAAGCAGCAGCUCACAGCUGCCAUUGCUCUAACCUCUUAUGAUAACUUUUUUCUUUUCUUGUGGUUUCCUCUGCCUUUGAUGUUGAUAAGAGUUUUUGCACUUGUUGCCAAAGCUUUUUAAACGAUGUAGUUUUUGAGGCUUUCUGGAUGGAUAAGAUUUUGGCUCUUCUGAUUGCAA
Long non-coding RNA from Brassica napus (rape), 1418 nucleotides. RefSeq lists it as uncharacterized. The transcript has 3 exons. The record is from RefSeq and is a predicted model, not a curated record. NCBI's taxonomy places the organism in Eukaryota, Viridiplantae, Streptophyta, Magnoliopsida, Brassicales, Brassicaceae.